Molecule: ribosomal RNA, 253 nt
Filed under: uncultured bacterium
Lineage: Bacteria
Description: partial 16S ribosomal RNA
Rfam family: Bacterial small subunit ribosomal RNA
Source: RNAcentral
UACGGAGGGUGCAAGCGUUAUCCGGAUUCACUGGGUUUAAAGGGUGUGUAGGCGGGCAUUUAAGUCAGUGGUGAAAUCUCCAGGCUCAACCUGGAAACUGCCAUUGAUACUAUUUGUCUUGAAUCCUGUUGAGGUGGGCGGAAUAUAUCAUGUAGCGGCGAAAUGCUUAGAUAUGAUAUAGAACACCGAUUGCGAAGGCAGCUCACUAAGCAGGCAUUGACGCUGAGGCACGAAAGCGUGGGGAUCAAACAGG